Molecule: long non-coding RNA, 1309 nt
Filed under: Canis lupus familiaris (dog)
Lineage: Eukaryota; Metazoa; Chordata; Mammalia; Carnivora; Canidae
Description: lncRNA (ENSCAFG00000056844.1)
Source: RNAcentral
AUGACCCAUAAUUUCUUAAAUAACCAGUUAACAUUUUGUUGUACUUCCUUUUUUUUUCCUUUUCUCUAUGUGGAGGUCUCCUUUUUCCCUGAAAUAGAGUGGCUAUGGUCAUGUUGGGUACAGAGUAGAAGAGAGACUUCUUGGCUCCCAAACUGCCAGCACUUUAAUCACUUCCUUUUGAAAAAAGGUGUGGUUUUGUGUGUCGCUUUUUCCUGGAGUCUCCGCCGCACCCCAGGCAAGACCUUCUAUCCAUCUUUCCCAGUUUGAACUGCCUCAAGGCCAGAUGCACAGCUGUCAUCCUGGGACUUCUUUUCACCUUCUUGGUUCAUUCCCAUGUUUCACUGGAAUACAUCCCCAAGAAAUUUUUAAAGAAACGGUGUAUGGGAGGUAAAUUGUUUUAAGCUGUUCCAUAUCUGAAAAUGGAUUUAGUCUAUAUCACAUUUGGAUGAUAGUUUGUGGUGGCAUAUAGAAUUCCAGGUUCAAAAUCAUUUUUUCAUUAGAACUUUAACAAUAUUAUUCCACGGUUUUUUGGCAACCCAUAGUGUCAUUGCAAAGCCCAGUGCUAGGGGUGCCUGCGUGGCUCAGUGGUUGUGCGUCUGCCUUUGGCUUGCAUCGUGGUCCUGGGGUCCUAGGAUUGAGUCCUGCAUCCGGGUUCUUGCAGGGAGCCUGCUUCUCCCUCUACCUGUGCCUCUGCCUCUCUCUCUCUCUGUCUCUCAUGAAUAAUUAAAUAAAUAAAAUCUUAAGGAAAAAAAAAGAGAAUGUCCUUAUUUCUAUUUUUUCUGUUUUUUCUUGGAACUACUAUUACUGAUGUUAGGUUUUUUUGUAUUGCUCUUACUCAAUUUCUUUAGAAGAGACCUCUCUACAUUUUCUUUAAGAUAGACUCUAAAAAAAUUCUUCAAGAAAGCUAGAGAUGGAAACUUAUUUUUUAAAGAUUUAUUUAUUCAUGAGAGACACACAGGCAAAGACACAGGCAGAAGGAGAAGUAGGCUCCCCAGGGAGCCCGAGGCAGGACUCGAUCCUGGAUCCUAGGAUCAUGGCCUGAAGUGAAGGCAGACACUCAACUGCUGAGCCACCCAGGCGUGAGAUGGGAACUUUUCUGAAAACACACUUUUAAAAAAAUGAACUUCUGGGGGUUCCUGCGUGGCCCAGUUGGUUAAGCUUCCAACUCUUGGUUUUGCCUCAGGUCAUGAUCUCAGAGUUGUGAGAUGGAGCCUUGCUUCCAGUUCUGCACUUAGCACAGAGUUGACUGGAGAUUCUUUCUCCCUUCCCUUCUGCUCCUCCCCCUCUUGCAUGCACUCUCUCUCAUAAA